UACGGGGGGAGCAAGCGUUGUUCGGAUUCAUUGGGCGUAAAGGGUGCGUAGGCGGCGCGGUAAGUCGGGUGUGAAAUCUCGGAGCUUAACUCCGAAACUGCAUUCGAUACUGCCGUGCUUGAGGACUGGAGAGGAGACUGGAAUUUACGGUGUAGCGGUGAAAUGCGUAGAUAUCGUAAGGAAGACCAGUGGCGAAGGCGGGUCUCUGGACAGUUCCUGACGCUGAGACACGAAGGCCAGGGGAGCAAACGGG
Molecule: ribosomal RNA, 253 nt
Filed under: uncultured bacterium
Lineage: Bacteria
Description: partial 16S ribosomal RNA
Rfam family: Bacterial small subunit ribosomal RNA
Source: RNAcentral